Molecule: RNA transcript, 1031 nt
Organism: Medicago truncatula (barrel medic)
Lineage: Eukaryota; Viridiplantae; Streptophyta; Magnoliopsida; Fabales; Fabaceae
Gene name: putative vesicle-associated membrane protein 726
Exons: 5
Source: RefSeq, a predicted model, not a curated record
CUUUAUUCUCACUCUUUCUCUCUCUAUAUUUACUCUCUAGAAAAGAAGAGAAAAGAGAAAGAAAAAGUUGAUCGAGAAUAUAGCAAACAGCAUCACCACAAGAAACCUCUUCGUUCGAUAGAUCUGUGGAGAAGAAGAUGGGACAGAACCAAAAAUCUCUGAUCUACGCUUUCGUUUCUCGCGGAAGCGUGAUUCUCUCUGAAUACACUGAAUUCAGCGGAAACUUCAACUCCAUCGCUUUUCAAUGCCUUCAGAAGCUUCCAGCUUCUAACAACAAAUUCACUUACAAUUGUGAUGGCCACACCUUCAACUACCUCGUCGAUAAUGGCUACACGUAUUGUGUUGUUGCGGAUGAAACUGUUGGAAGACAAGUGCCGGUGGCUUUUCUGGAGCGUGUGAAGGAUGAUUUUGUUGCGAAAUAUGGUGGUGGGAAGGCGUCUACAGCUGCACCUAACAGCUUGAAUAAGGAAUUUGGGCCAAAAUUGAAGGAACAUAUGCAGUAUUGUGUUGAUCACCCGGAGGAGGUGAGUAAGCUUGCUAAGGUGAAAGCUCAGGUGUCUGAAGUGAAAGGUGUCAUGAUGGAGAACAUUGAAAAGGUCCUGGACAGGGGGGAAAAGAUAGAGCUUUUGGUUGACAAGACUGAGAACCUUCAUCACCAGGCACAAGACUUCAGGAACUCAGGGACCAAAAUCCGCAGAAAAAUGUGGCUGCAAAAUAUGAAGAUAAAGCUGAUUGUAUUGGCAAUUUUGAUAGCUCUGAUCCUCAUAAUUGUCCUCCCAAUUGUCCUUAAGAAUAAAUAAACGCCACUCUCGGAGACAUUUAUCUGGUUAUUUUGACUUUCUUGUGAUUAUUAUAUGAUGAUGAUGAUGAGGAAAGCUAUCAGGUGUAUGACAUGAUUUUGUAUUUAGUCAAGAUAUCAGAACCUGUAUACCGUUCACUUUUAAGCUUUUACAGUAUGAUGGUGAUGAUGAUAUACUAAUGCUUCUAUAUGUUUUUUUUGCCUGUCUAUUGUAGUUUGAUUUCAAUUUCAA